ACCAAGGUAGUUUUCCUGUUUCCCGUGGCUUUAUUUCCAAGCUGUUCGUGCUUUUCAUUCAUUGACCAGAUUUGGUACAAAGGCAAAAAGAUUUUUAUCAUCCGAAGCUAAAAGUAAUAAUCGCAGACAAACAAAUUCACAUCAUACGCUUAUCGACAAAGAGACGGAAAUCGACUUGACGCUUCGUUCUUUAUUUGUCAGUGUGAAUCUUUAUAUCACACGCGUAACAUGUCUUCAGAAGCCGACAUGUUACGUCCAUCUGCUCAUGCGCGUAAUAUACGGUCACAUUCCCUCAAACCACAAAGCCAGCCCAUGAUGCAGUUCAAGCAACGUUCCAAGCGUACAAUGAGCCUGCCAUCCAAACCUGUUCUACUACCGCUGAUUAAUAUUCAACGCUGUCAAGACAACUGGAAGGACGAAAGUGAUGAAGAUGAAAAUGUGGGAAAUGGAGGGGAAAUGGCGUGGUAUACACCAAUUGUUGGACUGUCAUGCAGCCUUGUAAUAUAUUUCUGGGCAUGCGGCCUCGCUUACUACUCGAAACCUUGAAAAGUCAAAGACGACGACUGGUUGCACAGUUCUUUCAUAUUUUUAAAUAUUUUUUUUACAUUCAUAAUGUCGUUAAGAGAGCAGAUAAAAGUCACUAAAUCAGCUAGUAGAUAAGCAAAUAUGAUUUAGUUCUAUCACUUUGGUGAUUACACCGUUUAGAGACAUGAAAUGUCAUGAACAACGGUUAUUGCAAAGUUUAUUAUUUUAUUAAUAUUAUCAUAUUAUUAUUAUUAUUAUUUUAUCAUUAUUAUUAUUAUUACUUGACAUUUAUAGAGUCAAAUGAAGUGGUGAACUUUACUAAGAGAGUGAGUGAAUACAACUGAGAAUAUUUAAGAAGAAUCAAACAGAAAGGUCUUAAUUUAAUCUGUAGGACCUGAGCAUUUUUUCCUUCAUGUUUAUUAGAGUUCCAUUGAUUGUUCGUCAUUGUUACAUUAAAAGUUCCUUAAUGGAUCAGGGGAACAAUGAGUUUAUAAAUUUAAGGGCCAACAAAUAUGCCUUAAAGCUGAUGCAAAUUAUCAGUAAAAUAGUUACUCGAGUCUUGUGAAGUAUAAAGCAAAAUAUUUAGAACGAAGAGGAUCCCAAUGGGGUUAACCGUUAGCCGUGUAGAACGACCAAAAACUUAAAGUCGCUAAGCUUAAAAACUGAACAAUUUUAACUGGGAGUCGUAAAAUAAGUUUACCGUAAAAAAAAUCUUUUUCUAUUAUACAGAAAAGAAGUAAACCGUUAGCCGUAAAAUGAUCCAAAUUUUAACCUUUAGCUGUUAAAGCUAUCACCCUAUUGAGACCAUCUGCAAAGAAGCAAGCCUUUUUAAAACAGUUGUAAUAUGUUGCUGUCACUAGCUUUAUUAUGUGUUUCCAGCUACUUUUAACCAUCUUACUGUUUGAUGAUAACAGGGCUUGACAUAAAUGACGUUUAGAUUUAAUGGUAUUAAAUUAAUUUCUUAAGCUAAACCAGUAUGCAGGAAAAAAGAAUCGAGUUUAAAAAAUGAUAUGAAAAGCAAAGAAAUGAAAUGAUAAUAAAAGGUUACAUAAAGAAACUUUGGUCUAUAAAAAAUAUGUAGGAGAAGAAGUAGCCUGUAGCUACAAAAUAUCUCAGUUACAUGUACUAACCCAGUUCUUGGUCCGUACUGUAAGUUACAAUACAAUACUUCUCCUUGAUCACUCCCAUUGAGGUUUUUCAGAAUCAAUUCAUAUAGCAAUGAAUUUUAAACCUCUCUACAACGGUCACCUUGAGGACAGAAGAAAAUAGACCGAGAAGUGACCGUCAUGGGGAGGCAGGGAUGAAUGUAUGGACAGGCCAUCGGAACCAAAAGGAAAGUGGCCGUUGUGGACAGGUAGCCGUUGUAGAGAGGUAGAUGUUGAAGAGAAGUGGCCGUUUGUAGAGGUUUGACUGUAACUGUACAGACCGAGAAAACAAAGUUAGUAAUAUAUUUAUUACGUCUGUUGGUUCAAAUAGAGGGAGAAGAUUUUAAUUCAAACAAACUUUUCAAUUUAGUAUGUGCGCAUGCCCUACACUGAAUUGACCAAUCAUAGCGCUGAGACAUUUGAUAGAGGCCCCCUAUUUAGCACCAUAGGAAUGUAGAAUAAAGUUAAUUCAGAUCUCUAAUUAAAAAAAAAGAAACUUAAAAAUGCAAUUUUGAAAGUGAAAACUUCUGAAUUAAAGUUUUAACUUAAUCAUGCAAAUGAGGUAUUUAAAGGCAAUUUUUUUAACUGCGAACAAACAGAAUGAACUAGCUGUGUUAUCAGGGCCGUUUGCUCUAUGACUUGAUUUUAAAGAAUAUAUAAUCAAUUAGGCAUUAAAAUGGAAUUAAAUGCU
Molecule: long non-coding RNA, 2361 nt
Filed under: Stylophora pistillata
Lineage: Eukaryota; Metazoa; Cnidaria; Anthozoa; Scleractinia; Pocilloporidae
Description: uncharacterized LOC111329492
Source: RNAcentral